CUUCCACUUCGUCCUCCACAGCAUCUCUGGCCUGACAACUUCAAGAGUUAUUGAGUUUCUUCCUUCCUUCAAAGCUCAGCCUCAGACAGUCAUCCACCAUGAGAGCCCUUUAUCUUCUCGCUGCUGUUACCAUCCUCAUCUUCCAUUUUUCCCCAGGUUAUGCUCAAAACCCUUUCAGAGACCAGAUUAUGGCAUGCAAAUUUGACCUUGGUGGUUAUUGUUCAUCAGUUGAGUGUCCUGCACAUGCCCCCCGAAUGGGAUCUUGCCUAGGAGGAAACUGCUGUCAAAGGCCCGUAUCUGGUGCGCAGGGAUAGGUCCACUCACACAAGAAUUAGUCUGCUUUUUCCAGGAGAGACUUCAAAACUAUCUUGGCUGAUGACCACAUAAAGGAAAUUUCUACAAGUCCUAUCGCACUGGCCUGUGGCUUGAUUGCCAGUUCUUUCUCUACCAUUAUAACUCCACUUUACUUCCCAAAUUCUAUUACCUGGUGCAGGAGCCAAGACAAGAAUAUGCAUGCUUUCCCACCUCACAUGGAUGUGUUUUAAUGUUACCUAGGUCAUUUUUUGUGUGUGCACACUUCUUUGAAGUACCUCACAAAAGGCCAGUUUUCUAUUUUAUUCAUCCGAUUAAAAAUAAAGUAUAUGAACCUUG
Molecule: long non-coding RNA, 651 nt
Organism: Sphaerodactylus townsendi
Lineage: Eukaryota; Metazoa; Chordata; Lepidosauria; Squamata; Sphaerodactylidae
Exons: 3
Source: RefSeq, a predicted model, not a curated record